Molecule: long non-coding RNA, 557 nt
Filed under: Dromaius novaehollandiae (emu)
Lineage: Eukaryota; Metazoa; Chordata; Aves; Casuariiformes; Dromaiidae
Description: lncRNA (ENSDNVG00000006754.1)
Source: RNAcentral
GGGAGGGAAAUACUACUCCUCUAAAUGUAAGUAGUUGGAUAGUAGUGCUUUCAGAAAAGAUGGAGGAGCUGCAUCUCAGCAUAAUUAAAUCUAAAACCUAUACUUGGACUGCUCCAAUCAGGUAAACCAGGAAAAUCGGUGCAAACCUGCAUUGUCCAGUCCAGAAGCCUUCUGAAAGACCUUUAAUGCUUUAUCAGGGCUGGAUAAUUGGGUAUUUAUUACUGUAGUUAAUUUGCCUAACAGAAAAGGGGCAUUCUGUAAUGGUUAAACUUUAUUUUUUCUUUUUUUGGUCUGGUGGGUAAUCAUUUUGGGCUUACAGUAUUUUCUGUCAUAGGUACAGCUAUUACCAGAGUCUUGAAGAUAAAGAUAUCUUGCUUUCUGCAUUAUUGAGAACUCCUGAAAAAACUUACAUGAUUAAAAAAGUACCCGGGUGUACUUCCUGUCAUCUGAUCAUACCAGAGUGACUUUCCUGCCACUCUAAUGUAUAAUCAGGUCACCCAAAAUAUGUAAGCAACAACAGUGGGAGAUGUGCCAGCAGAAGACUACUGCUUUAAAAA